Molecule: long non-coding RNA, 2433 nt
Organism: Macadamia integrifolia
Lineage: Eukaryota; Viridiplantae; Streptophyta; Magnoliopsida; Proteales; Proteaceae
Exons: 3
Source: RefSeq, a predicted model, not a curated record
CCAAGCAUGACCAACCCAAUCCUUCUCUUCAUACCCAAAAAAAAAAACCCUCUCUCUCUCCGGAGGUGAAGGCCCAAGAAAUGGUUUUCUAAAUUAUCUCCAAAACUCUCGCCCUCUCCUUCUCUCUCUACUUCGUUCCCUCGACUCCCUUCUAACUUUUCCCUCAGUCUAUCGACCCCCUCUCCCCUAGUCUCUCGUUCCCUUAUCGCUCAUUCCAUCCAUCCCGUGCAACAGUCGGAGUUGUUGGAUUCUGCAUAUGAGGUGGCGGUGAAGCACUGUACGACGAAACUACGAAUAAUAACCUUGUAUAUAUUAAUAAGGAAAAUUUACAGCCAUCUCUUCUCCCAUUUGUCUUUAUUACAUCCAUUAUUCAGUGUUUCGUUUAUCACAUUUAAACCUAUCCAAACUAAUAACGUGAGAGGGGUAAGAUGAUUUUACACUUCUUCUUCUCCACUAUUUACCUGGAACUCAUAGGGGGAAGGAGAAAUUUCGGGUGGGUUUGCCAAAGGUGGGGGAGGUUGAGAGACAAAAACAGGUGGAGGCGGUGAAGGUGAUUGAGGUGUAGGUGGUGAGGCCACCGGUUCCACAGGGGAAGGCGGACGAGGAGAACUACUAGAUGGUGGUGGUGGUGGUGAUAACACCAGAGAAGGCGGCGAAGCCACCACAGGUGGCGGAGGGGAUAGAGAAGGAGGUGGCGGCAGUGAAGCCACAAGCGGCGAUAGAGAGGAUUGAGGAGGUGGGGUUGACCUCGCAGCCGGAGGAGAAGGAGAGGAUUGAGGCUGCGGCGGUGACGACGAGUUAGAAGGAGGUGAAGUAGUCGUUGAAGAGGGAGAUGGCGGUGGACUAGUGGUCAACGCUAAUGGUGACGGUGGACAUGCAGUAGAAGAAGCAUCUGGUGGAGGAGUGGUAGUGGAAGGUGGAGAAUUUGGUGAAGGGGAUGCCAUCUUCAUCCAAUUUCUCUCCACCCCUUAAUAAUACAAUCCAAAUUUCAAAUCCAAUAUUCUCAUUCAAUACUAUAUCUCCAAGGUUUCCGUUUUUGAGCAAAACCCUCCAUGAAUCCAACACAAAAAACCCUAAAAUUAGGACUUUAAUCAGAAAUGAUUCUCCCACACCUUCUUCUUACUCGUCUAAAUAUUGGUCAGCCUGAGGGUUUCAGAUUCUUUUGAUUUGUUCUUAAUGUUUUUCAUUGGUUUGUAUUCUGUAGGUUGCAGUAGCACAUACCAUUGGACAUGUAGCUGCGACUGUGAGCAUGUCGAAGGUUGCAGUUUCGUUCACUCACAUCAUCAAGGGGAUCCCAUCAUCAAGAGCGGUGAACCUGCUUUCAGCGUCUUGGUUUCGAAGUUUAUCUUGGGUGAAACUUUUCCAGUGAGUGUAUAUCUGUUCCCUGUGCCAAUUAUCGCUGGUUGUGCUCUUGCCGCUGUCACCGAGCUUAAUUUCAACAUGAUAAGUGAGAAGAUUGUAUUUUUUCUUCAAAGAAUUGGAAUUUUCCUUCAACUUGCUCUUCCAUGGGAAGUUCUUGCUGUUCCAAGUUCUGAAUGAAGUCUAUAUCAAAGCUUAUUGUUAGGGUUUUUGGGAGCUAUGAUAUCAAAUCUGGCGUUCGUGUUCAGAAACAUAUUCUCGAACAGAGGGAUGAAGGGAAAUUCUGUUAGUGGCAUGAACUACUAUGCUUGUUUGUCCAUUAUGUCUCUGGCGCUUUUCACACCCUUCGCGAUUGCAGUGGCGAAUCCGCAACUGUGCGUAACUUGGCUGGCAACAAUAGGUUUCAAUGAUCAACCCCUAUUUGUUUGUAGUGUAUAUCUGGUGAGUUCUGCGCAAAUAUAGGAGAGGAGGAAGAAGGGUAAAAUCGUCUUUUUCAUUUCAAAAAUUCUAUUUGGUGUUAAUUUGGAUGGGUUUAAAUGUAAUAAAUGAAACACAAGAGAGGUGAAUGUAAUAAGGACAAACGUGAAGGGAGGUGAAUAUAAAUUUAUUAAUAAAUAUAAACAAGAAAGAGAAAGAAUAUGAAAGAGGAAGCGAGUUUUCUAGGGAGAGAAGAGAUGACUGAAAUCUGCAGCUGAAGCUCGUUUCAGUUCCUUUUAUUACUCAAUUUAAUUUCUCUGCAAUUGAUUUCAGCACAAUGGCAUCUCACAUUGUUGGAUAUCCAUGGAUGCUGUAGUUCAGGCUCUACUUGAGUGUGAAGAUAAACCAAUCGGCCAUAUAUAGCAAACAUAAUGUAAUAAACAGUUGAUAUAUGUGUUUCCCUUUUUUUUCCCCCUUUUUUCAUCUCCCUCUCAAAACCACCACCUUUUGUGGGUGAAAAGCUAUGGUGUUCCAUCACAUGCCGAAAUUUUAUAAUGUUUUGCUUUGUGAAUAAAUAAAAGCAGAAGCUGUAAGAUCACAGAGUUUGUAAUGCUUGCAUUGGUGAAGAUCCUAUCAGGUGUCUAAAACAUAAUUUUA